Momordica charantia (bitter melon) is the source of this 1897-nucleotide RNA transcript. It is a transcript of the gene named diaminopimelate decarboxylase 1, chloroplastic, with no coding region annotated. Lineage: Eukaryota; Viridiplantae; Streptophyta; Magnoliopsida; Cucurbitales; Cucurbitaceae. The record is from RefSeq and is a predicted model, not a curated record.
CGCGUGCGAAAUUCAAGUUGCAGACCUCCAUAAACCUAGAAUUGAAGCUUUUACAUGCCAACAUCAUUUUUCUAAAUUGACUGUGGAAUUCAAGUUGCUUAGCUAUGGCGGCUGCGAAUCUCUACUCUCCCUCCCCUUCACCUUCCCUCCCCAAAACCCUCAAACAUUCUCUCAACUCAAACCCAUUUUGCCGUGUUCCGAUUCGCCCACUUAAACGCUUCUCCAAAAAUCUCUCCCUAAAAGCCGUUCUCUCGCAAAACCCCUCUAAAACCCAGACCCAAACAGCCCAGUUCCAGCAUUGCUUUUCCAAAUACUCUGAUGGGUUUCUCUACUGCGAGGGGAUUAAGGUGCAGGACAUCAUGGAAUCUGUUGAGAAGCGGCCUUUCUACCUCUACAGCAAGCCCCAGAUUACUAGAAAUGUUGAAGCUUAUAAGGAGGCUUUGGAAGGGCUGAAUUCGAUUAUUGGCUAUGCUAUUAAGGCCAACAAUAAUUUGAAAGUUUUGGAGCAUUUGAGGAAGUUGGGUUGUGGGGCGGUGCUUGUUAGUGGAAAUGAGCUUCGGUUGGCUCUUCAUGCCGGUUUUGAUCCCACCAGAUGCAUUUUUAAUGGAAAUGGUAAGCUUUUGGAGGAUUUGGUUCUAGCUGCAGAACAAGGUGUUUUUGUCAAUGUGGAUAGUGAGUUUGACUUGGAAAAUAUUGUGGCUGCUGCAAGAAUCGCUGGAAAGAAAGUUAAUGUUUUACUUCGUAUUAAUCCGGAUGUCGACCCUCAGGUACAUCCUUAUGUUGCAACCGGUAAUAAAAACUCCAAGUUCGGCAUUAGAAAUGAGAAGUUGCAGUGGUUUCUUGAUGCUGUCAAGGCGCAUCCUGAUGAGCUUAAGCUUGUCGGGGCCCAUUGCCAUCUUGGUUCCACCAUCACCAAGGUGGACAUAUUCAGAGAUGCUGCAGUACUAAUGGUCAACUACAUUGACCAGAUCAGAGAUCAAGGUUUUGAAGUUAAUUACCUCAACAUUGGAGGUGGACUUGGGAUAGAUUAUUAUCAUGCUGGCGCGGUUCUUCCUACUCCCAGAGAUCUAAUAAAUACGGUACGGGAGCUGGUCCUUUCACGAGAUCUUAAUCUAAUCAUUGAACCUGGGAGAUCACUUAUUGCCAAUACUUGCUGUUUGGUUAAUCGAGUGACGGGGGUCAAAACUAAUGGGACUAAAAACUUUAUUGUGAUUGAUGGUAGCAUGGCCGAACUGAUCCGCCCUAGUCUUUAUGAUGCUUAUCAACACAUAGAAUUGGUUGCUCCUUCAGCAUCUGAUUCCGAAAUCUCGACUUUUGAUGUGGUUGGCCCUGUCUGUGAGUCUGCAGAUUUCUUAGGGAAGGAAAGAGAACUCCCAACUCCAAACAAGGGAGCUGGUUUGGUUGUCCAUGAUGCUGGUGCUUACUGCAUGAGUAUGGCAUCUACUUACAAUCUCAAGAUGCGUCCUCCCGAGUACUGGGUUGAAGACGAUGGAUCUGUGUCCAAAAUUAGGCAUGGGGAGACAUUUGACGAUCACAUACGAUUCUUCGAAAAUCUUUGACUGGAGAUUCGCAUCCAUUCCUCUUGUUCAACUAUGGCCUUUUCCCCCAUGUAUGCUUGGCUUUUUCAACUAUUCAAUCAAGCUGUUGGCCAAAUGUCUAAAGAUUAAAAAGAAACAGAAGAACUUGUUACCAAAUUAUGGUGGAAUUGCUGUCUUGAUUAUGGAGAACUGGUAGCAGAAGAAGAAGAAUGAGAAGCCAGUGGGAAAAUUUAACAAGGAUUUUGAACUCUAUAAUGACAUACACAUGUAUGUGAGUGUAAAAUCUUGGAGUGCUUACCAAUCUACAAAUGUAAUUAGUUAGAGAUAAAUUUUAUCUUCGAGUUUUAGUAUAAUUUUUU